GCAGCAGUAGGGAUCUUCCGCAAUGGACGAAAGUCUGACGGAGCAACGCCGCGUGAGUGAUGAAGGCUUUCGGGUCGUAAAACUCUGUUGUUAGGGAAGAACAAGUGCUAGUUGAAUAAGCUGGCACCUUGACGGUACCUAACCAGAAAGCCACGGCUAACUACGUGCCAGCAGCCGCGGUAAUACGUAGGUGGCAAGCGUUAUCCGGAAUUAUUGGGCGUAAAGCGCGCGCAGGUGGUUUCUUAAGUCUGAUGUGAAAGCCCACGGCUCAACCGUGGAGGGUCAUUGGAAACUGGGAGACUUGAGUGCAGAAGAGGAAAGUGGAAUUCCAUGUGUAGCGGUGAAAUGCGUAGAGAUAUGGAGGAACACCAGUGGCGAAGGCGACUUUCUGGUCUGUAACUGACACUGAGGCGCGAAAGCGUGGGGAGCAAACAGGAUUAGAUACCCUGGUAGUCCACGCCGUAAACGAUGAGUGCUAAGUGUUAGAGGGUUUCCGCCCUUUAGUGCUGAAGUUAACGCAUUAAGCACUCCGCCUGGGGAGUACGGCCGCAAGGCUGAAACUCAAAGGAAUUGACGGGGCCCCCC
This 585-nucleotide ribosomal RNA is filed under the name Bacillus sp. (in: firmicutes). Its description in RNAcentral is "bacterial SSU rRNA". It matches the Rfam family "Bacterial small subunit ribosomal RNA", at positions 348 to 924 of the family's 1533-position model. The record is from RNAcentral. Lineage: Bacteria; Bacillati; Bacillota; Bacilli; Caryophanales; Bacillaceae.